Molecule: ribosomal RNA, 442 nt
Filed under: uncultured bacterium
Lineage: Bacteria
Description: bacterial SSU rRNA
Rfam family: Bacterial small subunit ribosomal RNA
Source: RNAcentral
CCUACGGGAGGCAGCAGUGAGGAAUCUUGCACAAUGGGGGCAACCCUGAUGCAGCAACGCCGCGUGGGUGAUGAAGGCUUUCGGGUCGUAAAACCCUUUUCUGGGGGGAGAGAAAGGACGGUACCUCAGGAAUAAGUCCCGGCUAACUACGUGCCAGCAGCCGCGGUAAAACGUAGGGGGCGAGCGUUAUCCGGAAUUAUUGGGCGUAAAGCGCGUGUAGGCGGCUCGGUAGGUUGGACGUGAAAGCUCCUGGCUCAACUGGGAGAGGUCGUUCAAAACCGCCAAGCUUGAGGACGGAAGAGGGGAGUGGAAUUCCCGGUGUAGUGGUGGAAUGCGUAGAUAUCGGGAGGAACACCCGUGGCGAAGGCGACUCCCUGGUCCGUUUCUGACGCUCAGACGCGAAAGCGUGGGUAGCGAACGGGAUUAGAUACCCGAGUAGUCC